UACAGAGGUGGCAAGCGUUGUUCGGAAUUAUUGGGCGUAAAGAGCUUGUAGGCGGUCUGUCGCGUCUGCUGUGAAAAUCCGGGGCUCAACCCCGGACUUGCAGUGGGUACGGGCAGACUAGAGUGUGGUAGGGGAGACUGGAAUUCCUGGUGUAGCGGUGAAAUGCGCAGAUAUCAGGAGGAACACCGAUGGCGAAGGCAGGUCUCUGGGCCACUACUGACGCUGAGAAGCGAAAGCAUGGGGAGCGAACAGG
RNAcentral lists this ribosomal RNA (253 nucleotides) under uncultured bacterium. RNAcentral's name for it is "partial 16S ribosomal RNA". It matches the Rfam family "Bacterial small subunit ribosomal RNA", at positions 524 to 776 of the family's 1533-position model. The record is from RNAcentral.